This 581-nucleotide ribosomal RNA is filed under the name Bacillus sp. (in: firmicutes). RNAcentral describes it as "bacterial SSU rRNA". It matches the Rfam family "Bacterial small subunit ribosomal RNA", at positions 44 to 608 of the family's 1533-position model. Lineage: Bacteria; Bacillati; Bacillota; Bacilli; Caryophanales; Bacillaceae. The record is from RNAcentral.
GUGCCUUCACCUGCAAGUCGAGCGGACAGAUGGGAGCUUGCUCCCUGAUGUUAGCGGCGGACGGGUGAGUAACACGUGGGUAACCUGCCUGUAAGACUGGGAUAACUCCGGGAAACCGGGGCUAAUACCGGAUGGUUGUUUGAACCGCAUGGUUCAAACAUAAAAGGUGGCUUCGGCUACCACUUACAGAUGGACCCGCGGCGCAUUAGCUAGUUGGGGAGGUAAGGGCUCACCAAGGCAACGAUGCGUAGCCGACCUGAAAGGGUGAUCGGCCACACUGGGACUGAGACACGGCCCAAACUCCUACGGGAGGCAGCAGUAGGGAAUCUUCCGCAAUGGACAAAAGUCUGACGGAGCAACGCCGCGUGAGUGAUGAAGGUUUUCGAAUCGUAAAGCUCUGUUGUUAGGGAAAAACAAGUACCGUUCGAAUAGGGCGGUACCUUGACGGAACCUAACCAAAAAGCCACGGCUAACUACGUGCCACCAGCCGCGGAAAUACGUAGGUGGCAAGCGUUGUCCGGAAUUAUUGGGCGUAAAGGGCUCGCAGGCGCUUUCUUAAGUCUGAUGUGAAAGCCCCCGGC